CAGGGAUUGCCCUAGUAACGGCGAGUGAAGCGGCAACAGCUCAAAUUUGAAAUCUGGCGUCUUUGGCGUCCGAGUUGUAAUUUGCAGAGGGCGCUUUGGCAUUGGCAGCGGUCCAAGUUCCUUGGAACAGGACGUCACAGAGGGUGAGAAUCCCGUACGUGGUCGCUAGCCUUUACCGUGUAAAGCCCCUUCGACGAGUCGAGUUGUUUGGGAAUGCAGCUCUAAAUGGGAGGUAAAUUUCUUCUAAAGCUAAAUACUGGCCAGAGACCGAUAGCGCACAAGUAGAGUGAUCGAAAGAUGAAAAGCACUUUGGAAAGAGAGUUAAAAAGCACGUGAAAUUGUUGAAAGGGAAGCGCUUGCAGCCAGACUUGCCUGUAGUUGCUCAUCCGGGUUUUUACCCGGUGCACUCUUCUAUAGGCAGGCCAGCAUCAGUUUGGGCGGUUGGAUAAAGGUCUCUGUCAUGUACCUCUCUUCGGGGAGAACUUAUAGGGGAGACGACAUGCAACCAGCCUGGACUGAGGUCCGCGCAUCUGCUAGGAUGCUGGCGUAAUGGCUGUAAGCGGCCCGUCUUGAAACACGGACCAAGGAGUCUAACAUCUAUGCGAGUGUUUGGGUGUCAAGCCCGAGCGCGUAAUGAAAGUGAACGGAGGUGGGAACCUUUCGGGGUGCACCAUCGACCGAUCCUGAUGUCUUCGGAUGGAUUUGAGUAAGAGCAUAGCUGUUGGGACCCGAAAGAUGGUGAACUAUGCUUGAAUAGGGUGAAGCCAGAGGAAACUCUGGUGGAGGCUCGCAGCGGUUCUGACGUGCAAAUCGAUCGUCAAAUUUGGGCAUAGGGGCGAAAGACUAAUCGAACUAUCUAGUAGCUGGUUCCUGCCGAAGUUUCCCUCAGGAUAGCAGUAACGUUUUCAGUUUUAUGAGGUAAAGCGAAUGAUUAGAGGCCUGGGGGUUGAAACAACCUU
This 959-nucleotide ribosomal RNA is filed under the name Didymella aeria. Its description in RNAcentral is "eukaryotic LSU rRNA". It matches the Rfam family "Eukaryotic large subunit ribosomal RNA", at positions 69 to 1048 of the family's 3401-position model. The record is from RNAcentral. Lineage: Eukaryota; Fungi; Ascomycota; Dothideomycetes; Pleosporales; Didymellaceae. RNAcentral also lists the same sequence under 1 other name.